UACGUAGGGGUCUAGCGUUGUCCGGAAUUAUUGGGCGUAAAGAGCUCGUAGGCGGUUCGUCAAGUCGGAUGUGAAAUCUCCACGCUUAACGUGGAGGGGCCAUUCGAAACUGCCGUGACUCGAGUCCGGUAGGGGAGUGCGGAAUUCCCGGUGUAGCGGUGAAAUGCGCAGAUAUCGGGAGGAACACCAGUGGCGAAGGCGGCACUCUGGGCCGGAACUGACGCUGAGGAGCGAAAGCGUGGGGAGCGAACAGG
This 254-nucleotide ribosomal RNA is filed under the name uncultured bacterium. RNAcentral describes it as "partial 16S ribosomal RNA". It matches the Rfam family "Bacterial small subunit ribosomal RNA", at positions 524 to 776 of the family's 1533-position model. The record is from RNAcentral.